UACGUAGGGUGCAGGCGUUAAUCGGAAUUACUGGGCGUAAAGCGUGCGCAGGCGGUCUUUUAAGUCAGAUGUGAAAUCCCCGGGCUUAACCUGGGAACUGCGUUUGAAACUGAAAGGCUAGAGUGUGGCAGAGGGGGGUGGAAUUCCACGUGUAGCAGUGAAAUGCGUAGAGAUGUGGAGGAACACCAAUAGCGAAGGCAGCUCGCUGGGACGGUACUGACGCUAAGGCGCGAAAGCGUGGGGAGCGAACAGG
Molecule: ribosomal RNA, 253 nt
Filed under: uncultured bacterium
Lineage: Bacteria
Description: partial 16S ribosomal RNA
Rfam family: Bacterial small subunit ribosomal RNA
Source: RNAcentral